This 452-nucleotide ribosomal RNA is filed under the name uncultured bacterium. Its description in RNAcentral is "bacterial SSU rRNA". It matches the Rfam family "Bacterial small subunit ribosomal RNA", at positions 28 to 507 of the family's 1533-position model. The record is from RNAcentral.
GAUGAACGCUGGCGGCGUGCCUAACACAUGCAAGUCGAGCGAUUCUCUUCGGAGAAGAGCGGCGGACGGGUGAGUAACGCGUGGGUAACCUGCCCUGUACACACGGAUAACAUACCGAAAGGUAUGCUAAUACGAGAUAAUAUGCUUUUAUCGCAUGGUAGAAGUAUCAAAGCUUUUGCGGUACAGGAUGGACCCGCGUCUGAUUAGCUAGUUGGUAAGGUAACGGCUUACCAAGGCGACGAUCAGUAGCCGACCUGAGAGGGUGAUCGGCCACAUUGGAACUGAGACACGGUCCAAACUCCUACGGGAGGCAGCAGUGGGGAAUAUUGCACAAUGGGCGAAAGCCUGAUGCAGCAACGCCGCGUGAGCGAAGAAGGCCUUUGGGUCGUAAAGCUCUGUCGGGUAGGAAGAUAAUGACGGUACUACCCGAGGAAGCCCCGGCUAACUACGUG